This 544-nucleotide ribosomal RNA is filed under the name uncultured bacterium. RNAcentral describes it as "bacterial SSU rRNA". It matches the Rfam family "Bacterial small subunit ribosomal RNA", at positions 358 to 916 of the family's 1533-position model. The record is from RNAcentral.
GGAAUCUUGCGCAAUGGGCGAAAGCCUGACGCAGCAACGCCGCGUGCGGGAAGAAGGCUUUAGGGUUGUAAACCGCUUUCAGCAGGGAAGAAAAUGACGGUACCUGCAGAAGAAGGUGGGGCCAACUACGUGCCAGCAGCCGCGGUGACACGUAGGCACCAAGCGUUGUCCGGAUUUAUUGGGCGUAAAGAGCUCGUAGGCGGUUCAGUAAGUCGGGUGUGAAAACUCUGGGCUUAACCCAGAGCCGCCACCCGAUACUGCUGUGACCUGAGUCCGGUAGGGGAGCGGGGAAUUCCUGGUGUAGCGGUGAAAUGCGCAGAUAUCAGGAGGAACACCGGUGGCGAAGGCGCCGCUCUGGGCCGAGACUGACGCUGAGGAGCGAAAGCAUGGGUAGCAAACAGGAUUAGAUACCCUGGUAGUCCAUGCCGUAAACGUUGGGCACUAGGUGUGGGCAUCAACCAACGAUGUCCGCGCCGUCGCUAACGCAUUAAGUGCCCCGCCUGGGGAGUACGGUCGCAAGACUAAAACUCAAAGGAAUUGACGG